Molecule: small RNA, 389 nt
Filed under: Pan troglodytes (chimpanzee)
Lineage: Eukaryota; Metazoa; Chordata; Mammalia; Primates; Hominidae
Description: retained intron
Source: RNAcentral
ACUAAGACAUGGACCCUGAAGAAGCACUUUGUUGGCUAUCCUACUAAUAGUGACUUUGAGUUGAAGACAGCUGAGCUCCCACCCUUAAAAAAUGGAGACUGGCAGCCAAAAGAUUGAAGGAAGGUGAUACAAUGAUGGGGCAGCAAGUGGCCAAGUAAUUAUUUCCAUUUGUCCCAAUGCUUGGAAAAUAUGUCUCCUCUUUACCUCCUGCUGGGUCCUGUCUCUGUCCAUUGCUCCUACAAUUUCUUCAGCCUAUGUUGUUCACUCACUGUGUGAUCUUGGAAUCAACUUGGGAAAUUCUGUCUCCUUCCUGACUAGCUGGAAAGGAGGGAAGGAUGUGAAAUUGUCAUUUUUUCAGCUUCACUUUGCCAUCCUUACUUUUAAUUACU